UACGGGGGGGGCAAGCGUUGUUCGGAAUUACUGGGCGUAAAGGGUGCGUAGGCGGCGCGGUAAGUCGGGUGUGAAAUCUCGGAGCUUAACUCCGAAACUGCAUUCGAUACUGCCGUGCUUGAGGACUGGAGAGGAGACUGGAAUUUACGGUGUAGCGGUGAAAUGCGUAGAUAUCAGGAAGAACACCAACGGCGAAGGCAGCUCGCUGGGACGGAACUGACGCUGAGGCGCGAAAGCGUGGGGAGCGAACAGG
Molecule: ribosomal RNA, 253 nt
Filed under: uncultured bacterium
Lineage: Bacteria
Description: partial 16S ribosomal RNA
Rfam family: Bacterial small subunit ribosomal RNA
Source: RNAcentral